RNAcentral lists this ribosomal RNA (921 nucleotides) under Triticum aestivum (bread wheat). Its description in RNAcentral is "partial small subunit ribosomal RNA". Lineage: Eukaryota; Viridiplantae; Streptophyta; Magnoliopsida; Poales; Poaceae. The record is from RNAcentral.
AUGUUUGUUACACAUGACCUAUUACUGCUGGAGAACCAAAUUCCGUUUUUCGUAGUUGAGGCAAUAUAUGAGGUAGCAAUUUCAAACAAGAUGGCACCAUCCACUACCUGUAAACCAAGUGUUGUCCGAUACAUAGAAACGUAUGCGUCAUUCUAUCAAACAGCAAUACGAGAGUCCAGUCGUCCACAAGAUUUUGAUCAUUUGCUAAACUUGUGUCAUAUGUAUUUCAGACCCAGUUCUAACCAGGAUGAACACCAUGACCAUACAUCGCAAAACUAUAUUCAUCACUUACUUCAGCUGGGACGAGAUUACCUCAGUCAUUUAGGUUCAUCACAGUAUCACCAUUUCCCAAACCGAUGGCGCCGGGCAACACAAUAUCAUGAAGCUGGGAUUGAGUUUAGGAUGACAACAUAUUCUGAUCAUAACCCCCAUUCCCUCCUGGAUAUAAAGCUCAGAGACGGUAUCCUGGAAAUCCCAUCCUUGCAUGUAGAUGAAGAAACUAAUGUUCUUUUCAGGAACUUCAUAGCACUAGAGCAAACAUGUCCUCAAGUAGGAAAUGAUGUCACUGCUUACAUUAUCUUUCUGUCCAAGCUGAUGAGCAUGCCAGAUGAUGUAGCACUGCUGGCUCGCAAAGGAAUCAUCGCGCAUCAUAUGCGCACUGACAGAGAUGUAUCACAGCUUUUUACCAGGCUGACAAAAGGUGUUGUCUUCGAUUUCUACGGGAACUAUUACCUCAAUCACCUGUGUUUAGCCCUGGAGGCAUAUUAUCAAAACCGUCUGCAUAGGUGGGUUGCGUGGCUGAGGCACAACCAUUUCAGCAACCCAUGGCUGGUGGUCGCAGCAUUGGCUGGUGUUACUGUGCUUUUCUGCACCAUUGCACAGACUGUCCUUACUGUCGAGUCUUAUGUUAAUCCCAAGUAA